CCUACGGGUGGCAGCAGUGGGGAAUAUUGGACAAUGGGCGAAAGCCUGAUCCAGCCAUGCCGCGUGUGUGAAGAAGGCCUUCGGGUUGUAAAGCACUUUCAGUGGGGAAGAAAGCCUUGGGGCUAAUACCCUCGAGGAAGGACAUCACCCACAGAAGAAGCACCGGCUAACUCCGUGCCAGCAGCCGCGGUAAUACGGAGGGUGCGAGCGUUAAUCGGAAUUACUGGGCGUAAAGCGCGCGUAGGCGGUCUGAUAAGCCGGUUGUGAAAGCCCCGGGCUCAACCUGGGAACGACAUCCGGAACUGUCAGGCUAGAGUGCAGGAGAGGAAGGUAGAAUUCCCGGUGUAGCGGUGAAAUGCGUAGAGAUCGGGAGGAAUACCAGUGGCGAAGGCGGCCUUCUGGACUGACACUGACGCUGAGGUGCGAAAGCGUGGGUAGCAAACAGGAUUAGAUACCCGGGUAGUC
This 465-nucleotide ribosomal RNA is filed under the name Vreelandella stevensii. RNAcentral's name for it is "partial 16S ribosomal RNA". It matches the Rfam family "Bacterial small subunit ribosomal RNA", at positions 338 to 795 of the family's 1533-position model. Lineage: Bacteria; Pseudomonadati; Pseudomonadota; Gammaproteobacteria; Oceanospirillales; Halomonadaceae. The record is from RNAcentral.